AGUGAACGCUGGCGGUAGGCCUAACACAUGCAAGUCGAACGGCAGCACAGUAAGAGUUUGCUUUUACGGGUGGCGAGUGGCGGACGGGUGAGGAGUACAUCGGAAUCUACUUUUUCGUGGGGGAUAACGUAGGGAAACUUACGCUAAUACAGCAUACGACCUACGGGUGAGAGCAGGGGAUCUUCGGGCCUUGCGCGUUUGAAUGGGCCGAUGUCGCAUUAGCUAGUUGGCGGGGUAAAGGCCCACCAAGGCGACGAUCCGUAGCUGGUCUGAGAGGAUGAUCGGCCACACUGGAACUGAGACACGGUCCAGACUCCUACGGGAGGCAGCAGUGGGGAAUAUUGGGCAAUGGGCGCAAGCCUGAUCCAGCAAUACCGCGUGAGUGAAGAAGGCCUUCGGGUUGUAAAGCCCUUUUGUUGGGAAAGAACAGCUGCAGAUUAAUACCCCGCUGUUCUGACGGUACCCAAAGAGUAAGCACCGGCUAACUUCGUG
This 492-nucleotide ribosomal RNA is filed under the name uncultured bacterium. RNAcentral's name for it is "partial 16S ribosomal RNA". It matches the Rfam family "Bacterial small subunit ribosomal RNA", at positions 29 to 507 of the family's 1533-position model. The record is from RNAcentral.